Oncorhynchus mykiss (rainbow trout) is the source of this 717-nucleotide non-coding RNA. The record is from RefSeq and is a predicted model, not a curated record. Lineage: Eukaryota; Metazoa; Chordata; Actinopteri; Salmoniformes; Salmonidae.
GAGUAAAAUGAGGUGCAGUGAGAGCAGGUGGACCAGUAGAACGGGCCAGCAGAGUAAAAUGAGGUGCAGUGAGAGCAGGUGGACCAGUAGAACGGGCCAGCAGAGUAAAAUGAGGUGCAGUGAGAGCAGGUGGACCAGUAGAACGGGCCAGCAGAGUAAAAUGAGGUGCAGUGAGAGCAGGUGGACCAGUAGAACGGGCCAGCAGAGUAAAAUGAGGUGCAGUGAGAGCAGGUGGACCAGUAGAACGGGCCAGCAGAGUAAAAUGAGGUGCAGUGAGAGCAGGUGGACCAGUAGAACGGGCCAGCAGGGUAAAAUGACUUGGAUACACAGAGCAGGUGGACCAGUAGAACGGGCCAGCAGGGUAAAAUGACUUGGAUACACAGAGGGGGUGGACCAGUAGAACGGGCCAGCAGAGUAAAAUGAGGUGCAGUGAGAGCAGGUGGACCAGUAGAACGGGCCAGCAGGGUAAAAUGAGGUGCAGUGAGAGCAGGUGGACCAGUAGAACGGGCCAGCAGAGUAAAAUGAGGUGCAGUGAGAGCAGGUGGACCAGUAGAACGGGCCAGCAGGGUAAAAUGAGGUGCAGUGAGAGCAGGUGGACCAGUAGAACGGGCCAGCAGAGUAAAAUGAGGUGCAGUGAGAGCAGGUGGACCAGUAGAACGGGCCAGCAGAGUAAAAUGAGGUGCAGUGAGAGCAGGUGGACCAGUAGAACGGGCCAGC